UAAUACGGAGGGUGCGAGCGUUGUCCGGAAUCACUGGGCGUAAAGGGCGCGUAGGCGGCAUGCCAAGCGUGUGGUGAAAGCCCGGGGCUCAACCCCGGGUCGGCCGUGCGGACUGGCGUGCUUGAGCACUGUAGGGGCGGGUGGAAUUCCGGGUGUAGCGGUGGAAUGCGUAGAGAUCCGGA
Molecule: ribosomal RNA, 182 nt
Filed under: uncultured bacterium
Lineage: Bacteria
Description: partial 16S ribosomal RNA
Rfam family: Bacterial small subunit ribosomal RNA
Source: RNAcentral